UCGAAGGUAUCUAUUAACUGGAGAACUGGUC
RNAcentral lists this non-coding RNA (31 nucleotides) under Mus musculus (house mouse). The record is from RNAcentral. Lineage: Eukaryota; Metazoa; Chordata; Mammalia; Rodentia; Muridae.